GCACGGAGUUAGCCGAUCCUUAUUCUUACAGUACCGUCAAGCUGGUUCACGAACCAGUGUUUCUUCCUGUACAAAAGCAGUUUACAAUCCAUAGGACCGUCAUCCUGCACGCGGCAUGGCUGGAUCAGGCUUGCGCCCAUUGUCCAAUAUUCCUCA
Molecule: ribosomal RNA, 156 nt
Filed under: uncultured bacterium
Lineage: Bacteria
Description: partial 16S ribosomal RNA
Source: RNAcentral